This 1431-nucleotide ribosomal RNA is filed under the name uncultured Bordetella sp. RNAcentral describes it as "partial 16S-23S ribosomal RNA intergenic spacer". It matches the Rfam family "Bacterial small subunit ribosomal RNA". The record is from RNAcentral. Lineage: Bacteria; Pseudomonadati; Pseudomonadota; Betaproteobacteria; Burkholderiales; Alcaligenaceae.
GUUCGAUCAUGGCUCAGAUUGAACGCUGGCGGGAUGCCUUACACAUGCAAGUCGAACGGCAGCACGGACUUCGGUCUGGUGGCGAGUGGCGAACGGGUGAGUAAUGCUGUCGGAACGUGCCUAGUAGCGGGGGAUAACUACGCGAAAGCGUAGCUAAUACCGCAUACGCCCGUCGGGGAAAGCGGGGGACCUUCGGGCCUCGCACUAUUGAAACGGCCGAUAUCGGAUUAGCUAGUUGGUGGGGUAACGGCUCACCAAAGGCGACGAUCCAUGUGGUUUAGAGAGGACGACCAGCCACACUGGGACUGAGACACGGCCCAGACUCCUACGGGAGGCAGCAGUGGGGAAUUUUGGACAAUGGGGAAACCCUGAUCCAGCCAUCCCGCGUGUGCGAUGAUGGCCUUCGGGUUGUAAAGCACUUUUGGCAGAAAGAAACGGCACGGGAUAAUACCCGUGCAACUGACUGACCUGCAGAAUAAGCACCGGCUAACUACGUGCCAGCAGCCGCGGUAAUACGUAGAGCAAGCGGUCGGAAUUACUGGGCGUAAAGCGUGCGCAGGCGGUUCGGAAAGAAAGAUGUGAAAUCCCAGAGCUUAACUUUGGAACUGCAUUUUUAACUACCGAGCUAGAGUGUGUCAGGGAGGUGGAAUUCCGCGUGUAGCAGUGAAAUGCGUAGAUAUGCGGAGGAACACCGAUGGCGAAGGCAGCCUCCUGGGAUAACACUGACGCUCAUGCACGAAAGCGAUGAGGCAAACAGGAUUAGAUACCUGGUAGUCCACGCCUAAACGAUGUCAACUAGCUGUUGGGGCCUUCGGGCCUUGGUAGCGCAACUAACGCGUGAAGUUGACCAUAUAGGAAGUACAGUCGCAAGAUUAAAACUCAAAGGAAUUGACGGGGACCCGCACAAGCGGUGGAUGAUGGAUUAAUUCGAUGCAACGCGAAAAACCUUACCUACCCCUUAGUAAACAUGUCUGGAAUCCCGAAGAGAUUUGGGAGUGCCAUAAGAGAACCGGAACACAGGUGCUGCAUGGCUGUCGUCAGCUCGUGUCGUGAGAUGUUGGGUUGAUCACAACAGCGCAACCCUUGUCAUUAGUUGCUACGAAAGGGCACUCUAAUGAGACUGCCGGUGACAAACCGGAGGAAGGUGAGGGGAUGACGUCAAGUCCUCAUGGCCCUUAUGGGUAGGGCUUCACGUCAUACAAUGGUCGGGACAGAGGGUGUAGCGCGAGACCAAUCCAGAAACCCGAUCGUAGUCCGGAUCGCAGUCUGCAACUCGACUGCGUGAACUCGGAAUCGCUAGUAAUCGCGGAUCAGCAUGUCGCGGUGAAUACGUUCCAGGUCUUGUACCGCCGCCCGUCACACCAUGGGAGUGGGUUUACCAGAAGUAGUUAGCCUAACCGUAAGGAGGGCGAUUACCACGGUAGGAUUCAU